RNAcentral lists this ribosomal RNA (447 nucleotides) under uncultured bacterium. RNAcentral's name for it is "SSU rRNA". It matches the Rfam family "Bacterial small subunit ribosomal RNA", at positions 26 to 518 of the family's 1533-position model. The record is from RNAcentral.
AGAGCGAACGCUGGCGGCAGGCCUAACACAUGCAAGUCGAGCGCCCAGCAAUGGGAGCGGCAGACGGGAUAGUAACACGUGGGAACGUACCUUUCAGUUCGGAACAACCCAGGGAAACUUGGGCUAAUACCGAAUACGCCCGUAAGGGGAAAGAUUUAUCGCUGAAAGAUCGGCCCGCGUCUGAUUAGCUAGUUGGUGGGGUAAUGGCCCACCAAGGCGACGAUCAGUAGCUGGUCUGAGAGGAUGAUCAGCAUCACUGGGACUGAGACACGGCCCAGACUCCUACGGGAGGCAGCAGUGGGGAAUAUUGGACAAUGGGCGCAAGCCUGAUCCAGCCAUGCCGCGUGGAUGAUGAAGGCCCUAGGGUUGUAAAGUCCUUUCGGCGGGGAAGAUAAUGACGGUACCCGCGAGAAGAACGCCCCGGCUAACGUUCGUGCCAGCAGCCGC